This 72-nucleotide transfer RNA is filed under the name Toxocara canis (dog roundworm). It matches the Rfam family "tRNA". Rfam says of the family: Transfer RNA (tRNA) molecules are approximately 80 nucleotides in length. Their secondary structure includes four short double-helical elements and three loops (D, anti-codon, and T loops). The record is from Rfam by way of RNAcentral. Lineage: Eukaryota; Metazoa; Nematoda; Chromadorea; Rhabditida; Toxocaridae.
CGGGCAGUAGUUCAGCGGUAGAGCUCUAGCUUUGUAUGCUGGAAGACUUGGGUUCGAUUCCCGGAUGCUUAC